UACGGAGGGUGCGAGCGUUGUCCGGAAUCAUUGGGCGUAAAGCGCGUGUAGGCGGCCCGGUAAGUCCGCUGUGAAAGUCCAGGGCUCAACCCUGGGAUGCCGGUGGAUACUGUCGGGCUCGAGUCCGGAAGAGGAGUGUGGAAUUCCUGGUGUAGCGGUGAAAUGCGCAGAUAUCAGGAGGAACACCAAUGGCGAAGGCAGCACUCUGGGACGUGACUGACGCUGAGACGCGAAAGCGUGGGGAGCAAACAGG
Molecule: ribosomal RNA, 253 nt
Filed under: uncultured bacterium
Lineage: Bacteria
Description: partial 16S ribosomal RNA
Rfam family: Bacterial small subunit ribosomal RNA
Source: RNAcentral